This 253-nucleotide ribosomal RNA is filed under the name uncultured bacterium. Its description in RNAcentral is "partial 16S ribosomal RNA". It matches the Rfam family "Bacterial small subunit ribosomal RNA", at positions 524 to 776 of the family's 1533-position model. The record is from RNAcentral.
UACGUAGGUGGCAAGCGUUGUCCGGAUUUAUUGGGUUUAAAGGGUGCGUAGGCGGCCCUGUAAGUCAGCGCUGAAAUAUCCCGGCUUAACCGGGAGGGUGGCAUUGAUACUGCAGGGCUUGAGUAAAGUUGAGGUUGGCGGAAUUGACGGUGUAGCGGUGAAAUGCUUAGAUAUCGUCAAGAACACCGAUAGUGAAGACAGCUAACUAAGCUUUAACUGACGCUGAGGCACGAAAGUGUGGGGAGCGAACAGG